GAAGGAGAACAAGAAAAGAGAGCAGGGAGUAAGGUCCCAAGCAGAAGGAUCAGUGGGCACAAGACCCUAAAACAGAAAAUGGGUUAGUAUGUUCAUUUAGAGAAAGUGUUCAGUGUCACCGAGAUGUGCAGGGUCAGGGAACAGGUAGGACAAGACAGGAAAAAGGGAAGAGGCCAGAUCGGGCAGGCCAUGAACGAGGGUUAGACUUUACUGAACAUACAGUCCAUUAAGGUUGUCAAAGAGUAGUGUAUAAUGAUUCAAAGUCUGUUUAAAAAAUUACUCUAGCUCUCUUUUGGCUGGAAGCAAGAGGAAAAAAGGGAAGUCUGGCCACUGCUGUGAUUCAGGAAUGAGUGGAGAACGGCUGGCUCAGGACUGGAGAGAAACUGUCAAAGGUUUUCUGGAAUGAUCCAGCAUAAGCCAACCUUACUGGAAACACUUGUGACUCCCUCCUGCCUGCCUCAUGGAGGACAGCCCUCAGCCAGUGGCAUGCUGGAGCUGAAGGACAAUCACUCUAGCUUCCCUGCCUCCGAGGAGAUUUUCCAUCUUUCUCAUUUGACUUCAUUCCACUUGUUUGCUGUAAGCAAAGCAUAAUGCUGGACUUUCUGCAAGUGUCUGAUGGCCCUUGGCCUGUUUUCUACUUCACCUGCAUUGUACCUUCAGAGGCAACCGGUGACUUCAGCUUUUGACAUUUUCCAGAGUUUUGCACCAAGAAUUGGCUGGUUAUUGCUGGACACUUUGCUGCAGAAUCUUAAAGUAUAUAGCAGAAUCUUAAAGUAUAUCAAUCCAGCAGGGUAGUAGGAAUGAUUAAAUGAGAUAGCUUACAUAAAUCUUGUAGUCCACGAAUUGGCUGGUUAUUGUUAUUCCUUUUCCACCUGCUUUCUAUCUUCUAGAAAUUUCUUGGACACCUCAUUUCUGCCAUCAUUUCAUCUCAUGUUCUCUUACUUUUUAUGCCUUUUUAAUUCCUUGCCAGUACAACACACAUUCUGAAGUGUGUCCUUUAUUUUGCUAUAAAGGACAUUACUGGGACAACUAAUGAAAUUUAAUGAUGGCCCCAGGAUUAGGUAGUGUGGACUAUCAAUAUUAAUUUCUUGAUUAAUUUCUUAAUUUUGAUGGUUGUGUUGUGACUAUGUGGAAGAAUGUCCUACUUGCCCCACCUUAAAUAUUUGGAAGUGAAGGGCCAUGAGUUUGGCAACUUGUUUCCAAAUAGUUCAAGACAAAAGAAGUUCUUUACACUGUCCUUGCAAGUUGUCUGUUUCAGAUUGUUUUAAAAAUAAAACAGUACUUAUUUUUGUUUUAAGGGGGAAAUGGAUAUUUAAUCAUUCUUACACAUGGGUCUAAAAAAAGAGCUUAAAAUGCCACUAGUAAGAUGUGUUUUACAAUGAUGAUAUAAGAGACUAACAGCAACCAUCUGGAGAUCACAAUUUGCUUAUUAAAGAAUGCUCCUGAAUUUAAAUUGCUAGAAUUUUUAAACUACAAGAAGCAAAAAAAGAGGCUUCUACAUAUUACUGGUAUUUGUGUGCAAAACAAUGGGGAAAAUUGCUAUUUAAAACAAAACCCAGCGGGAGCUAUUUCUAGGGUUUAGACGGUGACGUUUCAUAUCUGUGAUAAAUGGUCAUUUUAGAAAAAAGAUCUUUAAGGGUGAUAUGGGCUGAAUGUUCACAUGUUGAAAUCUUGUUUCCACCCUGCCCACCAUGUAAUGGGUCUAGGAGGUGAGGCCUGAGAGGUCAUUGGGGUCGGAUGGAGGUCAGGACAGCAGAGCUCUCACAGCCACCAUUAGCGCCCUUCUAAGAGUUAGGAGUUGCUAUUUUUUGCUGUCCGUCAUGUGAGGACACAAUGAAAAGUCAGCAGUCUGACUCAGAAGAGGGCUCUCACCAGAACUCUACCACGCUGGCAUUUUGACCUGACUUCAGCCUCCAAAACUGUGGAAAAUUAAUUUCUGUUGUUUGUAAGCCACCCUGUCUGUGGUAUUUUCUUAUGGCAGUCGCGACACAGUAAGACAAAAAUGUGUCGGACACUGCUAAUAUCCUACUCCUUACCUGUUUUUCCCACUGUUCUUAUAAACAGAAUUCCAGCCUCACUUUGAGCAACAACGCCGAGCUUAAACACUUCGCAGCCUCUCUUAGAUCCCGCUGUAUCCCCAGGGCACCACGAGGUCAGACAGACCCGGAGGGAAGUGUGCUGGACAGGUUGGGGAGAGAACCAGUUUCCCCUUCCCUCCAGUCUGCACGGUGGCUGUGCCUCCUGGGGAACAGCAGCCCAUCUGUGACUCAUCAGGCCACAGGCUGGAUAAUAAAAGUCAACAUGACAUGGGCAGCAAUCUAAGGGUGGCAAAGAAAGAAAAGUAGCCUGGGUGCUGGAUGGCGUUAUUGAGCUGCCGUGCCAAUCCUGGGCUUCCUACUAGUGUAUUCUUUAUUAAGAAAAACAAUGAACCCUAUACAUGUUUAUGUCGCUGGAUUUUCUCUUAUUUGCAUCUGUAUACAUUAUUAACAACAAUUUUGAUGUUUUUUUUUUUUUUGGUAAAAGAUUGAGAUGCAAGAGAGUAGAAUUAAGCAAUAGAGCAAAAGGAAUCUUGUGUUUAAGAUUGAUCUGGAGAUCUAGGAGGAGCAUGUUGGGGCUGACAAGCAAAUACAAAGUGGUAGGAAGAGACUUAAGACAUAAUCUAG
This is a long non-coding RNA of Artibeus jamaicensis (Jamaican fruit-eating bat), 2663 nucleotides long. RefSeq lists it as uncharacterized. The record is from RefSeq and is a predicted model, not a curated record. NCBI's taxonomy places the organism in Eukaryota, Metazoa, Chordata, Mammalia, Chiroptera, Phyllostomidae. The transcript is spliced from 4 exons.